AUUGAACGCUGGCGGCAGGCCUAACACAUGCAAGUCGAACGAGUGGCGGACGGGUGCGUAAUGUCUGGGAAACUGCCUGAUGGAGCGGGAUAACUACUGGAAACGGUAGCUACUACCGCAUACCUUCAGAUGUGCCCAGGUGGGAUUAGCUUGGUGGUGGGGUAACGGCUCACCACGGCGACGAUCCGUAGCGGGUCUGAGAGGAUGAGCAGACACACAGGAACUGAGACACGGUCCAGACUCCUACGGGAGGGAGCAGUGGGGAAUAUUGCACAAUGGGCGCAAGCCUGAUACAGCCAUGCCGCGUGUAUGAAGAAGGCCUUCGGGUUGUAAAGUACUUUCAGCGGGGAGGCGUUACCCGCAGAAGAAGCACCGGCUAACUCCGUGCCAGCAGCCGCGGUAAUUC
Molecule: ribosomal RNA, 406 nt
Filed under: uncultured bacterium
Lineage: Bacteria
Description: partial 16S ribosomal RNA
Rfam family: Bacterial small subunit ribosomal RNA
Source: RNAcentral